CAAGUCGAACGAUGAUUUCUAGCUUGCUAGAAUGAUUUAGUGGCGAACGGGUGAGUAAUGUAUCGGAACGUAUCCAAUAAUGGGGGAUAACUAAUCGAAAGGUUGGCUAAUACCGCAUACGCCCUACGGGGGAAAGCAGGGGAUCUUCGGACCUUGCGUUAAUGGAGCGGCCGAUAUCUGAUUAGCUAGUUGGUGAGGUAAAAGCUCACCAAGGCGACGAUCAGUAGCUGGUCUGAGAGGACGACCAGCCACACUGGAACUGAGACACGGUCCAGACUCCUACGGGAGGCAGCAGUGGGGAAUUUUGGACAAUGGGCGAAAGCCUGAUCCAGCCAUUCCGCGUGAGUGAAGAAGGCCUUCGGGUUGUAAAGCUCUUUCGCAAGGGAAGAAACGAUGCAGUCGAAUAAACUGUGUUAAUGACGGUACCUUGAUAAGAAGCACCGGCUAACUACGUGCCAGCAGCCGCGGUAAUACGUAGGGGGCGAGCGUUGUCCGGAAUCAUUAGGCGUAAAGAGCUCGUAGGCGGCUUGGUAAGUCGGGUGUGAAACCUCCAGGCUCAACCUGGAGUCGCCACUCGAUACUGCCAUGGCUAGAGUCCGGUAGGGGCCCACGGAAUUCCUGGUGUAGCGGUGAAAUGCGCAGAUAUCAGGAGGAACACCGGUGGCGAAGGCGGUGGUCUGGGCCGGCACUGACGCUGAGGAGCGAAAGCGUGGGGAGCAAACAGGAUUAGAUACCCUGGUAGUCCACGCCGUAAACG
This 757-nucleotide ribosomal RNA is filed under the name uncultured bacterium. RNAcentral's name for it is "bacterial SSU rRNA". It matches the Rfam family "Bacterial small subunit ribosomal RNA", at positions 58 to 808 of the family's 1533-position model. The record is from RNAcentral.